AGUAACGCGUGGGUAACCUGCCUCACACUGGGGGACAACAGUUAGAAAUGACUGCUAAUACCGCAUAAGCGCACAGGAUUGCAUGAUCUGGUGUGAAAAACUCCGGUGGUAUAAGAUGGACCCGCGUCUGAUUAGCUUGUUGGUGAGGUAACGGCUCACCAAGUCGACGAUCAGUAGCCGGACUGAGAGGUUGAACGGCCACAUUGGGACUGAGACACGGCCCAGACUCCUACGGGAGGCAGCAUG
This 246-nucleotide ribosomal RNA is filed under the name uncultured bacterium. RNAcentral describes it as "partial 16S ribosomal RNA". It matches the Rfam family "Bacterial small subunit ribosomal RNA", at positions 109 to 353 of the family's 1533-position model. The record is from RNAcentral.